This 253-nucleotide ribosomal RNA is filed under the name uncultured bacterium. Its description in RNAcentral is "partial 16S ribosomal RNA". It matches the Rfam family "Bacterial small subunit ribosomal RNA", at positions 524 to 776 of the family's 1533-position model. The record is from RNAcentral.
UACAGAGGUCCCAAGCGUUGUUCGGAUUUACUGGGCGUAAAGGGUGCGUAGGCGGCAGGGAAAGUUCGAGGUGAAAUCUCCAGGCUCAACUUGGAAACUGCCUUGAAUACUUCCUUGCUAGAGGGUCGCAGAGGAGAUUGGAAUUCUCGGUGUAGCAGUGAAAUGCGUAGAUAUCGAGAGGAACAUCAGUGGCGAAAGCGAAUCUCUGGGCGACAUCUGACGCUGAGGCACGAAAGCGUGGGGAUCAAACAGG